RNAcentral lists this ribosomal RNA (194 nucleotides) under uncultured soil bacterium. RNAcentral describes it as "partial 16S ribosomal RNA". It matches the Rfam family "Bacterial small subunit ribosomal RNA", at positions 26 to 247 of the family's 1533-position model. The record is from RNAcentral.
AGAACGAACGCUGGCGGCAUGCCUAAUACAUGCAAGUCGAACGAACACUUCGGUGUUAGUGGCGCACGGGUGCGUAACGCGUGGGAAUCUGCCCUUGGGUUCGGAAUAACAGUUGGAAACGACUGCUAAUACCGGAUGAUACCGAAAGAUCAAAGAUUUAUCGCCCAGGGAUGAGCCCGCGUAGGUAUUAGCUA